RNAcentral lists this ribosomal RNA (279 nucleotides) under uncultured bacterium. Its description in RNAcentral is "partial 16S ribosomal RNA". It matches the Rfam family "Bacterial small subunit ribosomal RNA", at positions 506 to 784 of the family's 1533-position model. The record is from RNAcentral.
UGCCAGCAGCCGCGGUAAUACGGAGGGGGCUAGCGUUGUUCGGAAUUACUGGGCGUAAAGCGCACGUAGGCGGACUGAUCAGUAGGGGGUGAAAGCCCAAGGCUCAACCUUGGAACUGCCCUCUAUACUGUCAGUCUUGAGUCCGGGAGAGGUGAGUGGAAUUCCUAGUGUAGAGGUGAAAUUCGUAGAUAUUAGGAAGAACACCAGUGGCGAAGGCGGCUCUCUGGUCCAUACCUGACGCUGAGGCGCGAAAGCUAGGGUAGCGAACAGGAUUAGAUA